AUGCUCAUCUCCUGGGAGAUUUGGUCGGAGCGCAAUGCUAGAAUUUUCUACAAUACGGCUGCUCCGUCGGCGGUCCUUGUUAGUAAGUUUAAAGAGGAGUUGUCUCUUUGGGCUUUGGUGGGCGCCAAGCACUUGAGUAUUGUAAUGGCGCAAGAGUAG
This 159-nucleotide ribosomal RNA is filed under the name Triticum aestivum (bread wheat). Its description in RNAcentral is "partial small subunit ribosomal RNA". Lineage: Eukaryota; Viridiplantae; Streptophyta; Magnoliopsida; Poales; Poaceae. The record is from RNAcentral.